GCGACCCCAGGUCAGACGGGCCACCCACCGAG
Molecule: ribosomal RNA, 32 nt
Filed under: Mauritiella armata
Lineage: Eukaryota; Viridiplantae; Streptophyta; Magnoliopsida; Arecales; Arecaceae
Description: partial 26S ribosomal RNA
Source: RNAcentral